Molecule: ribosomal RNA, 254 nt
Filed under: uncultured bacterium
Lineage: Bacteria
Description: partial 16S ribosomal RNA
Rfam family: Bacterial small subunit ribosomal RNA
Source: RNAcentral
CACGUAGGCACCAAGCGUUGUCCGGAUUUAUUGGGCGUAAAGAGCUCGUAGGCGGUUCAGUAAGUCGGGUGUGAAAACUCUGGGCUCAACCCAGAGACGCCACCCGAUACUGCUGUGACUUGAGUACGGUAGGGGAGUGGGGAAUUCCACGUGUAGCAGUGAAAUGCGUAGAUAUGUGGAGGAACACCGAUGGCGAAGGCAGCCCCCUGGGUUAACACUGACGCUCAUGCACGAAAGCGUGGGGAGCAAACAGG